Molecule: ribosomal RNA, 685 nt
Filed under: Escherichia coli
Lineage: Bacteria; Pseudomonadati; Pseudomonadota; Gammaproteobacteria; Enterobacterales; Enterobacteriaceae
Description: partial 23S ribosomal RNA
Rfam family: Bacterial large subunit ribosomal RNA
Source: RNAcentral
GGGUAGUUUGACUGGGGCGGUCUCCUCCUAAAGAGUAACGGAGGAGCACGAAGGUUGGCUAAUCCUGGUCGGACAUCAGGAGGUUAGUGCAAUGGCAUAAGCCAGCUUGACUGCGAGCGUGACGGCGCGAGCAGGUGCGAAAGCAGGUCAUAGUGAUCCGGUGGUUCUGAAUGGAAGGGCCAUCGCUCAACGGAUAAAAGGUACUCCGGGGAUAACAGGCUGAUACCGCCCAAGAGUUCAUAUCGACGGCGGUGUUUGGCACCUCGAUGUCGGCUCAUCACAUCCUGGGGCUGAAGUAGGUCCCAAGGGUAUGGCUGUUCGCCAUUUAAAGUGGUACGCGAGCUGGGUUUAGAACGUCGUGAGACAGUUCGGUCCCUAUCUGCCGUGGGCGCUGGAGAACUGAGGGGGGCUGCUCCUAGUACGAGAGGACCGGAGUGGACGCAUCACUGGUGUUCGGGUUGUCAUGCCAAUGGCACUGCCCGGUAGCUAAAUGCGGAAGAGAUAAGUGCUGAAAGCAUCUAAGCACGAAACUUGCCCCGAGAUGAGUUCUCCCUGACUCCCUGAGAGUCCUGAAGGAACGUUGAAGACGACGACGUUGAUAGGCCGGGUGUGUAAGCGCAGCGAUGCGUUGAGCUAACCGGUACUAAUGAACCGUGAGGCUUAACCUUACAACGCCGAAGCUGUU